AGAGUUUGAUCAUGGCUCAGAACGAACGUUGGCGGCGUGGAUUAGGCAUGCAAGUCGAACGAAUCCCACUGUUGUAGCAAUACAGUGGUGGGGGAAGUGGCGAAAGGGGCAGUAAGGCGUGGGUAACCUACCCCGGGGACGGGGAUAGCCAUUCUAACGAGUGGGUAAUACCUGGCGAUCUGGUUGAGGGGCAUCUCUUGGCCAGGAAAUGAAUUUCGCCUCGGGAGGGGCUCACGUGAUAUUAGCUAGUUGGUAGGGUGACGGCCUACCAAGGCAAAGAUGUCUAGCGGGUGUGAGAGCACGACCCGCGCCACUGGCACUGAGACACUGGCCAGACACCUACGGGUGGCUGCAGUCGAGGAUCUUCGGCAAUGAGCGCAAGCUUGACCGAGCGACGCCGCGUGGACGAUGAAGGCCUUCGGGUUGUAAAGUCCUGUCGAGGGGGAUAAAAGCGCAAGCUUGAUGAUCCCUGAGAAGCC
This 479-nucleotide ribosomal RNA is filed under the name uncultured Gemmata sp. Its description in RNAcentral is "bacterial SSU rRNA". It matches the Rfam family "Bacterial small subunit ribosomal RNA", at positions 8 to 492 of the family's 1533-position model. Lineage: Bacteria; Pseudomonadati; Planctomycetota; Planctomycetia; Gemmatales; Gemmataceae. The record is from RNAcentral.